Molecule: non-coding RNA, 3643 nt
Organism: Paramormyrops kingsleyae
Lineage: Eukaryota; Metazoa; Chordata; Actinopteri; Osteoglossiformes; Mormyridae
Source: RefSeq, a predicted model, not a curated record
CCGUCUGCGCAGUCGUAGCCCGCAGUCGCAGACCCUUGAUUCGCAGUCCGUAGUUGCAAAACAUAGUAGGUCGCAGGCGCAGUUUGCAAUCGAAGAACCUCGCAGUCCGCAGUCGCAGAGCACCGUAGGUCGCAGGCUCUGGCGUUUAAUCCCCGUCUGGCGCGUCCGGCUCCCUGCAAACGCAGAGGAAAUACGGCAGGCAAAUAAACGGCAGCAAAGCAGCGGCGUUUCGCCCCGUAAAGUAACUGGGAGACAGCAGCAUGGAUAAUUUGUCAAUCAACAGCAGGUUUCGGAGCUCCGUGGUAAAUCACGACGAUGAGAUGGCGGAGUGCGGUGUAACCCCGGUGGCCAUGGAGGACAGUGACCGUGAGGCUGGGUACCAUUCCGAUGACCAGCGUCUUAGCCCGGAGUCACCCGGAAAUGGCCAAGACCCCAGAGCCACACAGCCACCCAGCAUGUCCAAGGAAGAUUCGGGGGACUCAGAGCUGGAGCGCAUCAUGGGAGACCUCCAGUCCAGCAGGGGGCACCCUGUUCCCAGCCGUGAACCCCCAGGAGACAGGGAGGCAAAGGCCCUGGACAAGUCAGCCCUUUUGAGGCCCCCCGUGGCAAGCAAAGCACAUGGGGAGCCCAACACAGAGCAGGAGAGAAGGUCCAGGUUUCAUCCAGCCUCUGCAGACUUUAAGCAACCUUCUCCUGUCAGUCCCUCAAGGCCCAAGAGCCCCUGGGGGCGCCAUGACCCCUACGACUCGGCAGAGGAUCAAGAUAAGGAGUAUGUUGGCUUCGCCACGCUUCCUAACCAGGUACACAGGAAGUCCGUGAAGAAGGGCUUCGACUUCACCCUCAUGGUGGCAGGCGAGUCCGGCUUGGGAAAAUCCACCCUCGUCAACAGCCUGUUCCUCACGGACCUCUACAAGGACCGGAAGCUGCUCAGCGCCGAAGAGCGCAUCACUCAGACGGUGGAGAUCACCAAGCAUACGGUGGACAUCGAGGAGAAGGGGGUCAAAUUGAAGCUCACCAUCGUGGACACACCUGGAUUCGGGGAUGCCGUCAACAACACUGAGUGCUGGAAGUCUGUGGCAGACUACAUUGACCAGCAGUUCGAACAGUACUUCAGAGACGAGAGCGGCCUGAACCGCAAGAACAUCCAGGACAAUCGCGUGCACUGCUGCCUGUACUUCAUCUCGCCCUUCGGCCAUGGCUUGCGCCCCCUGGAUGUGGAGUUCAUGAAGGCUCUUCAUGAGAAGGUCAACAUCGUGCCAGUGUUGGCCAAGGCGGACACACUCACCCCAUCUGAGGUGGCAAAAAAGAAGCUGAAGAUUCGGGAGGAGAUUGACCAGUAUGGGAUCAAGAUAUACCAGUUCCCUGACUGUGACUCCGACGAGGACGAGGAAUUUAAACAGCAGGAUCAGGAGCUAAAGGACAGCAUCCCCUUCGCCGUCAUCGGCAGCAACACCGUGGUGGAGGCUAAGGGUCGCCGGGUCAGGGGUCGGCUGUACCCUUGGGGCAUCGUGGAAGUGGAGAAUGCUGCGCACUGCGACUUUGUGAAACUGCGGAACAUGCUGGUACGGACGCACAUGCAGGACCUGAAGGAUGUGACCCGGGAGACCCAUUACGAGAACUACCGGGCCCACUGCAUCCAGAGCAUGACCCGCAUGGUGGUGAAGGAGCGCAACCGCAACAAACUGACUCGGGAGAGCGGCACGGACUUCCCCAUCCCCAUGGUGUCCAACAUGACAGACAGCGAGACGGAGAAGCUCAUCCGCGAGAAAGACGAGGAGCUGCGGCGAAUGCAGGAGAUGCUGCAGAAGAUCCAGGAGCAGAUGCACACACAGAAAGAGGCCUACUGACCCCCACCCUGGGGGACUGCUCUCAGGAUCUGUUAUCCUUCACAAAAAGUUGCCCCUGCUUGCCCCUGAUGGCCCUAUCCAGCCCCCCCUCGUGUCUCCACCUUCCGCUCUCUCCCUUUCUGAAGCCUUCAUCUGUAGGGAGGAAGACGGCAGCGACAGCGGCUCCUGGGCCAUGGGGCUCCCUCUGCUGGGAGAAGCUGAGGAUGGUCCUGAAGGGUGGAGAUUCCGCGGCGUCCCCGGCGCCCCCGGCCCGGACACUGACACAGGGAUGGGCUUCCCCAAAAUGCAUUUAAACCUCAUACUGAAAAAUCACUGUUAGAGGAGCAAAUAAAAAGAAUAUCUGUCAUUCCAGUACCUGCAUUAAUAAUUUCACAGAGGACUGCUAAGUGUUAUCUGCUUAAUUUAUACCUGUGACACUCAUUUUAGGCUCUUUCAGACUGGGUAGCUUCUCAUGAUGUAUGAUUUGUUUUUCUCUUCUCUUCCCCCUGUUCAUUCCCUACAUAUUUCUGCCCCUUUGCACCGCCCCCCCCUCCCUAUCCAUGCCUGCAUGCUUGUAUCCAUGCACUCUCCAUGCCCUGCCCUCAUCCAUGUUCAACACAGCUCACCUGUUCCCUGCUGAUGCAGAACCCCUGUUAUGACAUAGGUUAAAAAAAUUGGUGUGGGAAGUUGUGUGUAUAUGUUCUGCUAUAUUGGCAUUUGUUUGCUUUGUUCCAGCUGCGUAAUAGUGCAGGUAACCGCUUCUCCUGUGUAGUAUGUUUGCAUUCAUCAAGCGUUUAACCCCUCAAGCAAUAAUUUGAUAUUCAAGGAUCUUUUUUUUAAUUUUUUUUUUAUCAGGUUCUUAUCUUUAAUUUUUUUUAUUGUUUUUGUUUAUAUUGAUUUUAGGGGACAUGGGAGCACUUUAACUGAGCCUCGGGAAAGAACAAUAAAGGGGCCCUUAAAGUGUGAUAGGUGCCUUGUCGAGUGCCUGUCUUUAAAGCUUCUGUAACCCGCAAGACCUUCUAACCUCAUUUCAGCCGGGCAGUGUGUCUGGACUGCGGCCAUGCCAAUGAGGGGAAGCAAUGAGGAGCCACUUCAGCCAGUGUAGCACCCAUCUGGAUGAUGCAAUGGCAGGGGUGGUGGGUGGCCCAGUGGUGUAGUGGUUAGCACUGUUGCCUCACACCUCUGGGACCAGGGUUCAAGUCCCUGCCAUAGCUGGACAAUGGGCCACCCCCACAAACAACCACCUCCCCCCCCAACAAGACAGUUGGAGAAGAUGGACAUAACAAAUGAGUAGGGGCAGCACAAAGGGUAAUUUUGGCAAUCUGUGAAGCAUAAUAAUUUUGGCCUUAACAAAAGACACCCAGGGACCCAUUAGACUGGGCUCCCCAGGAUAGGCUGACCUGCUAGCCACACUAACACCAACUCCAGGGGCAACACAGCUUUCUUAGCUGGUCUCCCAUCCAAGUAGUAACCAGGCCCAAACCUGCUUAGCUUCAGAUGGAUCACCCAGCCUGAAGUAUAGGAGCUAUGGCUGCUCACAUACCAAAAGGUGUAUCAGGAAGUUAAUGGGAGGACUUUACUUUACAGAAUACCACAUUGCCAGUGUUUGUGGGCCCAGUCUUUUAAUACCAGCGUCUGUUUUCCCACCCAGAUUCAAAAUUUGCCCCAUCAGCCCUGCACUGAAUUUACCCAUCGCCAUCAUUCAGGAACAAUGAGGUGUUUUUGCUUUACCACUGCAUUUAAAAUGACUAUGUAAUAACUUUAUAAAUUCAGAGGUUUAAAAAAAAAAAAAAACGCAAUAAAAAGCCGACGUGUCA